GCUGGGGAAAUAGCUCAGUUGAUAGAGUGCUUGCCUAGCAUGCAUGAAGCCCUGGGUUCAAUCCCCAGGAGCAGCAGCA
RNAcentral lists this transfer RNA (79 nucleotides) under Marmota monax (woodchuck). RNAcentral describes it as "tRNA.Ala". The stretch from base 11 to 68 matches the Rfam family "tRNA", at positions 8 to 63 of the family's 71-position model. From Rfam's summary of the family: Transfer RNA (tRNA) molecules are approximately 80 nucleotides in length. Their secondary structure includes four short double-helical elements and three loops (D, anti-codon, and T loops). The record is from RNAcentral. Lineage: Eukaryota; Metazoa; Chordata; Mammalia; Rodentia; Sciuridae.